This 253-nucleotide ribosomal RNA is filed under the name uncultured bacterium. RNAcentral describes it as "partial 16S ribosomal RNA". It matches the Rfam family "Bacterial small subunit ribosomal RNA", at positions 524 to 776 of the family's 1533-position model. The record is from RNAcentral.
UACGAAGGGGGCUAGCGUUGCUCGGAAUGACUGGGCGUAAAGGGCGCGUAGGCGGAUGGCACAGUCAGAUGUGAAAUUCCCGGGCUUAACCUGGGGGCUGCAUUUGAUACGUGUUGUCUUGAGUUCGGAAGAGGGUCGUGGAAUUCCCAGUGUAGAGGUGAAGUUCGUAGAUAUUGGGAAGAACACCGGUGGCGAAGGCGGCGACCUGGUCCGACACUGACGCUGAGGCGCGAAAGCGUGGGGAGCAAACAGG